CCCCGGUUAUCAGGAUUCUUUUCAUUACCUUAGGUUAAAUAAUGAAUAUAUCGGAAAUGCCAGUAUCGCAUAAGAGAUGAAGGUCGCCCAGGCCGCGCCGCUUAUCCCAUAAUCGGGGAUCAAAAGCAGGUUCAAGAUAAUGUUGGCGACCAUGGCCGCAACCGAGCUUAUGAAAAGUAGAAAUUUCUUAUUCUCCGUAAUGAGGAAAUGCAAUAUGACCAGGCUGAGGGCGGUCCAAAUGCUUGCCCAAAUAUAUAUAGAGAGAACCCCUGCGCCGUUCAAGUAAGCCGGCCCGUAUAUCAAUCCCAUGAUGAGCGGAGAGAAAAUCGAAACAGGGAUGGAUAUAAGGCAGGUCAAGG
This 359-nucleotide unclassified non-coding RNA is filed under the name plant metagenome. RNAcentral describes it as "partial contains 5.8S ribosomal RNA, internal transcribed spacer 2, and large subunit ribosomal RNA". The record is from RNAcentral.